UGGGGAAUAUUGCACAAUGGGCGCAAGCCUGAUGCAGCCAUGCCGCGUGUAUGAAGAAGGCCUUCGGGUUGUAAAGUACUUUCAGCGGGGAGGAAGGGAGUAAAGUUAAUACCUUUGCUCAUUGGCGUUACCCGCAGAAGAAGCACCGGCUAACUCCGUGCCAGCAGCCGCGGUAAUACGGAGGGUGCAAGCGUUAAUCGGAAUUACUGGGCGUAAAGCGCACGCAGGCGGAUUGUUAAGUCAGAUGUGAAAUCCCCGGGCUCAACCUGGGAACUGCAUCUGAUACUGGCAAGCUUGAGUCUCGUAGAGGGGGGUAGAAUUCCAGGUGUAGCGGUGAAAUGCGUAGAGAUCUGGAGGAAUACCGGUGGCGAAGGCGGCCCCCUGGACGAAGACUGACGCUCAGGUGCGAAAGCGUGGGGAGCAAACAGG
Molecule: ribosomal RNA, 429 nt
Filed under: Chloroflexota bacterium
Lineage: Bacteria; Bacillati; Chloroflexota
Description: Chloroflexi bacterium partial 16S ribosomal RNA
Rfam family: Bacterial small subunit ribosomal RNA
Source: RNAcentral